Molecule: long non-coding RNA, 399 nt
Organism: Glycine soja
Lineage: Eukaryota; Viridiplantae; Streptophyta; Magnoliopsida; Fabales; Fabaceae
Exons: 3
Source: RefSeq, a predicted model, not a curated record
UGAAAAUACAACCGAAACAAAUGCUUUUCCUCACAUCAUGCCAUUUGGCAUACACUAGAAACAACUUAAUGUGUUCCAUAACUACUCAGUUACAGAAGUGCUGAUGUAAUAAUGCUCCAAGCUGAUUGAGAAGAAGUCAUCAUCAAGAUUGACAAGCAAGUGCUAUACACUUCUCAUAUCUAAGAUUGCAGGAUUUGAAUUCAGAGAUGGAUCCAGAAAGAUCAGUAGAGGACCAAUUCUCCAAGCUGCAUCCUUCCAUGCCUGUAAACACCAGAAUUGGAAUAGUGGGUGCUGGUCCAAGUGGCUUAUCAGCUGCUUAUGCACUGGCCAGACUUGGUUACAAUAAUAUCACUGUCUUGGAGAAGCAUCAUACAGUUGGUGGCAUGUGUGAAUCAGUAG